This is a long non-coding RNA of Leopardus geoffroyi (Geoffroy's cat), 3300 nucleotides long. RefSeq lists it as uncharacterized. The transcript has 2 exons. The record is from RefSeq and is a predicted model, not a curated record. NCBI's taxonomy places the organism in Eukaryota, Metazoa, Chordata, Mammalia, Carnivora, Felidae.
CAUUAAGAAAAUUAAAGAAAGGCGAUGGGUGUUCCUCACCUGAGUCAGCAUUUGUCUCAUGAAUGUUCCCUCAAAAUAAAUAAAUAAAAGGCAAGAAACGGUGUACACAGUAUACAAGCCCUUUCUCUCUCUCGAUUGUCACGGCAAUGCCCCACCCCCCAAAGCAACUAUUACAAUAGAGGCUCCUUUACAGAGGAGGGAAACAGAGGCUCAGACUGAUCCUGCUGCAGAUCCAGGAGGUAGCCAACCUGGGCUGUGAGUCUGUCCCCCUUCCUUCUGAUGCAUUUCUCCGUUCCCUGUAAAUGAGCCCAACAGUUCGGUGCCCGCCUCUUCCUUGUAAAUAGUGGCCUUCCUCUUCUCCUGGGGGGUUCACCAGGCCCCUUUCUGCUGGCCCUCUCCGGUUCUUCUCACUCACAGACAAGCAGGUCUUUCAACUGCAUUUUGAUGGCACGCUCCGUUUCCCUCUGUCCAUCCAAUCUUUUGGAUCAACAAUCCAAUUUAGGUCUUGUCAUUCUAAAGUUUUACCCUUAUCUCCAAUGUAUUCCUCUCAGUCUCUCUCUCUCCUCCCUCCCCACCUUCCUAUCACACCUGCACCCCAUUCUACGUUUCCAGUAAAUGUAGAGUAAAGGUGCCAUGCGAGGAUACAGCAAGAAAACCAGGAAGAGGGUUUUCACCAGGAUUGAAGUGGCCAGGCUUCAGAACUGUGAGGAAUAAAUUUCUGUUGUUUAAGCACCCCCACAGAACAUAAAUAAAUAAAAAAGAGAGGAUCACAUAAUAAAACAUGCUUGCCUAAGGCUGAGCCCUCAGCAGGGUCUGUAGGAGGUCCAGGAGCCAUCAGGAGGGGCUCAAGGAUGUGACUGUUACCAUGGUAUUCUUGUCUGGUACACCAGGAUUGGGCUAAGCUCUGCCGAUAGAGAUAAGCUAAGGGAACCCCGGAUGUUAAGGAACAUAGUCUAGUGGAUGUGAGAUGCUAGAUCAUAAUUAAGAUGAGAUCUUCUGUGUGACUGCUAUAAACCAGCUGUUAAUCAAGACACACACAUAAAAAGGUUUAGCAGAAAAUUGUUCAAAGUAAUCAGAGGUGGGCUGUUUAUUGGGACCUUGAGUAGAAACUUAAGUAGUAGUUGGAGUAAAUUGAAUCAAAUUACAGAAAGCGGAGGCAAUUCGAAGGAAUUGGGUGUGUAUGCAUUCAAAGGAAAGAGGGUAAUAAAACUGUAACAUAGUUUAGGAUUAAGAACAAGGACUUGGGAGUUGGAGACAUUGACUCCUGGUUCUGGUGUAUCUCAACCUAAUCGAGUGACUUUGAACAAGUUGCUUAGGUUCCUUGAGCCUUGGUUUCUUCAUGGAAAACAAACUGAUAAUACUUAUCUUUGGGGUUAUCAUAAGGAUUAAAUGCAAAAAUGCAUAUAGCAUACUUAAUGCAGAGCUUAGAACAUAUAUACUUAAUAAAUAUUAGCUGUUAUUAUUAUAUUAAUAAUUAUAAAGAUACAUUCAUGGCUUCAAAGUGUCCUUGGUUUACAAUGCCUGAGAAAUCUAGAAAAGGUCAGCCUUUCUCUCUUAGAAAGUCCCUGAGCUGGUGUCCCCUGAGGAACCCUAUUUGGGUACAAAGAGCCAAAGUUUUAGAAACUUUAGGCUUUGAAGUCACAUCAGGACUUCCGCCCCCCUCCCCAGACACAGCACACCCCAAGCCACAGAUGUGCCCAACAGCAGGAGCUCAAUUAGUGAUUACUGAAUCAGAAAGUCACAAAGAUCUGAAACUUUUAUGAAAAAGAGUUGGGCUAUAAUUCCUCUCCAUCAAAUGAAGCAGUCCCUUUGAGUUGUGACAUCUUACAACUGUAUUUUCAGGCAGAGGUCCUCUGGCAGAUUGGAGUGGGUGAAAGGUUAAGAGAGGAGAAGGUACUGGUGCAAGAUACACCCUUUUCUCUUUAGAGUCUCCUGCAAGAAAUUCUUGCUUUUGGAAUUCCUUGAGACCCUAAAUUUAAUUUCAAGGAGAAGUCAUUUGCCUACAUUUACAGUGCGGGACCCUUCUGGAUUUCUUCCUGGUAGAUUUCUUUACAUUUCCUUUUCUCAUCAGUUGUAGUUGGCAUGUCAGUGGAAAGCACAGAAUAUUGUCCUACAUCAUAGACACUAUCAGGAAGUUCCAGAGUUUUCUUGGAGGCUGGCAUGUAGUAGGCACUAAGAACGUAUCUGUGGAAUGGAUAAAUUAACGCAGUGCCUUAGAGAUCUAAUUCAGCUUGCCUAUUUUACAGAUUGGGAAACUGAAGAAAAAAUGAGUCGCAUUAAUUCAUCAGUAACAGAGCUGGUCUAGAGCCCAACAUCUCUCCAAGCCUAGAAAUUAUAAUAUUAUAAAGUUCCAGAUUUUAAUGACUGUUAGACAUAAUGAAGAACACAAGAAGUUUUAAUGUUGAGUAGGAAAUAGACCCUGGCCGCCAUUGGCAAACUAUAUAAGAGGCGUAAUUUAGGCACCAUAUGCAGGAAGAUAUUUGUUGCUGAUGCUCAGCUCUACCAUCAUAGCCCCAAAACCACCAUAGGCAACACAUAAAUGAAUGAGCAUGGCUGUGUCCCAAUAAAACUUUGGUAACUAUGUGAGGUGAAAAGAAUUUUUAUUUAUAGACACUGAAAUUUGAAUCCCAUAAUUCACAUGUGUCAUGAACCGUUAUUCUUUGGAUAUUGUCAAGCAUUUAAGAAAAUGUAAGAACCAGUCUUUGCUCCCAGGCCCUACAAAAACAGGUGGAGGGCUGGAUUUGGCCAAGUCCUGAUCUAUGGCAUUAAAAAGAAGAAAAUUCUUGCAGAAUUUUUGGCAGCUGCAGAGACUGCCUUAGCCCUUCUCUCCCUCUGUGCUUAGGAAGAGUGCCGGAAGCAUGGGGCAGCAGAGUUCCAAAGCUUCCUGCCAUGGUAAUCUGUUCCUUCCACUUGUUUAGGAUCUGUCUUUUCAGGACCAGACUAACUUCUUUCGGAGUGCUUCUGUGAGUUUGCACAGUCGUGAAAACACCAAAAUGGCCUAUAAUGGGGAUUGGUUGACUAAGUUCUCUCUCUGUAAAAGGCACGUAUGGAACUAUCUCAGGGACAGCAAGUACACGUCAUUUCCUCCAGUGGUGCACCGGAAUUGGCUUGGACCAGCUCACGAGAGCUGAUUAUUACGUUUUCAGGAAUUUUGUGAGCCAGGUCACAACUCACUGAUUGCUUGAAAUCAGCCAUGGGAAUGUUUAAACCAUGUAAACUGACAAAUGCCACAAGUCGGGACAUCACCUCCCACCCCCAGCCCCAACUCUGAGAACUAGUUAGUAAACAUUUAUCUGCAUA